UCAUACGUCUAAAUUAUUAUAGUAACUAGAUAUCAUUGAGAUGGGAGCCAUCUCUGUGGGCCCCGCUGUGAAUAAUGUGCAUUAAAAAAUUGUAUUUUUUUACCAUGGACAUGGGUUUGUCAACUGAAAUCAAAGUUUUUGACCUUGACCUUUGACCUAUGAAGUUGUAAAUAAAUUAUGACACACCCUUUGGUGUUGGUUUAUAAACAUGUCAAGUAUAAACUUUGAAAUGAUAAAGGUUCUCAAGAUAUAGAGCGGACACGAUCUUUACCAUAGGACAUGGGGUUGUCAACUGAAACCAAAGUUUUUGACCUUGACCUUUGACCUAGGAAGUUGCACAUAAAUUUUGACACACCCUUUGGUGUUGGUUUAUAUACAUGUCAAGUAUAAACUUUGAAAUGAUAAUGGUUCUCAAGAUAUAGAGCGGACACAAUCUUUAACCAAUAGGACAUGGGGUUGUCAACUGAAACCAAAGUUUUUGACCUUGAACUAUGCCCUAGGCAGUCGUUCAUAAAUUAUGACACGCCCUCUGGUGUUGGUUCAUAUACAUGUCAAGUAUAAACUUUGAAAUCAUAACGGUUCUC
This 584-nucleotide long non-coding RNA is filed under the name Mytilus galloprovincialis (Mediterranean mussel). The record is from RNAcentral. Lineage: Eukaryota; Metazoa; Mollusca; Bivalvia; Mytilida; Mytilidae.